GGAUAUGAGGGUGAUCUGGCUGUGACAUCUGUCACCCCAUUGAUUGCCAGGGUUGAUAAAGCUGAUCUGGCUGGGCGGGUGUCCCCUUUCUCCCUCAGCACGCCAUGUGGGUCUCUCUUGAAGCUGCUCGCUGAGUGGAAGAGGAUGUCCACCCCCAAUAGAGGAGGACUGUUUCCUCAGUCAAGGGUGUACAAGUAGCUGUGGUCCCCUACUAGAACCUUCAAAAGAAUAAUAAGAGAAAUAUUAUGAACAAUUUUUUGCCAGUAAAUUUGACAACCUAAGUAAAUGGUCAGAUU
This 296-nucleotide small nuclear RNA is filed under the name Heterocephalus glaber (naked mole-rat). Its description in RNAcentral is "7SK RNA". It matches the Rfam family "7SK RNA". Rfam says of the family: 7SK was discovered as an abundant small nuclear RNA in the mid-70s but a possible function has only recently been suggested. Two independent studies have found that 7SK RNA binds the CDK9/cyclin T complex (known as elongation factor P-TEFb). P-TEFb activates transcription by phosphorylating the C-terminal domain of RNA polymerase II. The record is from Rfam by way of RNAcentral. Lineage: Eukaryota; Metazoa; Chordata; Mammalia; Rodentia; Bathyergidae.